This 253-nucleotide ribosomal RNA is filed under the name uncultured bacterium. Its description in RNAcentral is "partial 16S ribosomal RNA". It matches the Rfam family "Bacterial small subunit ribosomal RNA", at positions 524 to 776 of the family's 1533-position model. The record is from RNAcentral.
UACGAAGGGGGCUAGCGUUGUUCGGAAUUACUGGGCGUAAAGGGCGCGUAGGCGGCCCGAUCAGUCAGAUGUGAAAGCCCCGGGCUCAACCUGGGAACUGCAUUUGAUACUGUCGGGCUUGAGUUCCGGAGAGGAUGGUGGAAUUCCCAGUGUAGAGGUGAAAUUCGUAGAUAUUGGGAAGAACACCGGUGGCGAAGGCGGCGACCUGGGCCAAUAUUGACGCUGAGGUGCGAAAGCGUGGGGAGCAAACAGG